GCGGUAUAUUGACCGUGCGAAGGUAGCAUAAUCAUUAGUCUUUUAAUUGAAGGCUUGUAUGAAUGGUUGGACAAAAAGUAAGCUGUCUCAAUUAUAAUAAUUGAACUUAACUUUUAAGUGAAAAGGCUUAAAUAAAUUAAGGGGACGAUAAGACCCUAUAAAGCUUGACAAUAAUUUAAUUAUACUAUCAAUUGUUAGUGUAACUUGGUUUUAAUUAACAUUUGUUGCGUUGGGGCGAACGAGAAUAUAAUAAGUAACUGUUCUUAAAUAUUUAAUAACAAAUAUAAUUGAAAAUUAGUGUGAUCCUCUAUUAGCGAUUAAAAGAUUAAGUUACUUUAGGGAUAACAGCGUAAUCUUCUUUGAGAGUCCCUAUCGACAAGAAGGUUUGCGACCUCGAUGUUGAAUUAACGUCAUCGCUUAUCAUGCAAGCAGAUA
This 435-nucleotide ribosomal RNA is filed under the name Penaeus indicus. RNAcentral's name for it is "partial large subunit ribosomal RNA". It matches the Rfam family "Bacterial large subunit ribosomal RNA", at positions 1933 to 2564 of the family's 2925-position model. The record is from RNAcentral. Lineage: Eukaryota; Metazoa; Arthropoda; Malacostraca; Decapoda; Penaeidae.